Molecule: ribosomal RNA, 500 nt
Filed under: uncultured bacterium
Lineage: Bacteria
Description: partial 16S ribosomal RNA
Rfam family: Bacterial small subunit ribosomal RNA
Source: RNAcentral
GACGAACGCUGGCGGCGUGCCUAAUACAUGCAAGUCGAGCGGACUGAUUAAGAGCUUGCUCUUAUGACGUUAGCGGCGGACGGGUGAGUAACACGUGGGCAACCUGCCCUGUAGAUCGGGAUAACACCGAGAAAUCGGUGCUAAUACCGGGUAAUAUCUGAGAUCACAUGAUCUUAGGUUAAAAGAUGGCUCCGGCUAUCACUACAGGAUGGGCCCGCGGCGCAUUAGCUAGUUGGUAAGGUAAUGGCUUACCAAGGCGACGAUGCGUAGCCGACCUGAGAGGGUGAUCGGCCACACCGGGACUGAGACACGGCCCAGACUCCCACGGGAGGCAGCAGUAGGGAAUCUUCCGCAAUGGGCGAAAGUCUGACGGAGCAACGCCGCGUGAGUGAUGAAGGGUUGCGGCGCGUAAAGCUCUGUUGUUAGGGAAGAAACAGUACCGAACGAACUAGGUCGGUACCUUGACGGUACCUAAACAGAAAGCCACGGCUAACUACGUG